CAAAACGGGUUUCAUAAAUGUAAUUGGGUCGUACAAACACACUAAAAACGAGCUAACGGGCCUUGGGCCCAACCCACUUAAACCCUACAUAUUUAAACCACUCUUUAUCUCUUCUCCUUCAUUUUUUUCCCUAACCCUAGCCCCCAUCUCAUCUUUUCCUCUGCCAAAAGAUUUAUCACACACACAAAACCAUACAUUUCCUUCUCUACUCUCACUUUGCUCUCUCUAAAUAACUAGCCGGCCACCACUGACGAUGGCGGCGAACCACGGUGGCGGCAGAGCCACGACAAGCCGGAAGUCCAAGGAAGACCACCACCACCACAGGCGGCGGCGCUGUGGUGGGUGGUUUCGGGAUCGAGCAGGAGAGAAAGAGAGACCUAGAGAGAGAAACAGUGGCGGAGGUGGUGGUGGUCUUGUGUCGUGACUACAACGAUCGGCGGCAAAGUGGAUCUUCCGGCAGCCGUGUUUAAGGUUCAACAGUUCGGGUAUUUGCUUCGGGUCGACUGUGAUUUUGGUUCGGGGUGGAGCCGACGGCAACGGUGGAUACGGAACUCCGGCUCGCGGUCAGUAGCAGUGACGGCAUACAUCUCCUAAAGUCACCCGCUAAUGUGUUGGACUUGCAAUCCAAAGUGGAAAAGUUAGAUAAAUGAUUCGAAGAGGCGCAAGAACCCCACACGGAAGUGUUGCAAAACCGAGUCGAAGAUAUGUAACACAAAUGAGAGAAGAUAUGCAACGACAAAUAACCGAGUUGAUGAAGCAGUUUGGUAAUCCUAGCAAUCCUCCACCAUAGUUUAGUUUUGUUUGUUGUCUUUUGCGGUUGAAGUUGUAAUUUAAAAACCGUGGCAUAUUUGGUUGUUGUAAUUUAAUCGUGUCGUAUUUAGGAUUUUUAUUGGAUUUUUUUCUGCAUUUUUAGUAGAAAAA
This is a long non-coding RNA of Helianthus annuus (common sunflower), 921 nucleotides long. RefSeq lists it as uncharacterized. Lineage: Eukaryota; Viridiplantae; Streptophyta; Magnoliopsida; Asterales; Asteraceae. The record is from RefSeq and is a predicted model, not a curated record. The transcript has 2 exons.